AGAGUUUGAUCAUGGCUCAGAAUCAACGCUGGCGGCGUGCCUAACACAUGCAAGUCGCGCGCGAAAGGGGGGCAACUCCCGAGUAGAGCGGCGAACGGGUGAGUAACGCGUGGGUGAUCUGCCUCCGAGUGGGGAAUAACAGCGGGAAACUGCUGCUAAUACCGCAUGACAUCCUCGAGUCGCAUCGGGGAUCAAAGCCGGGGACCGCAAGGCCUGGCGCUUGGAGAUGAGCCCGCGUCCGAUUAGCUCGUUGGCGGGGUAACGGCCCACCAAGGCUUCGAUCGGUAGCCGGCCUGAGAGGGCGGACGGCCACACUGGGACUGAGACACGGCCCAGACUCCUACGGGAGGCAGCAGUGGGGAAUUUUUCGCAAUGGGGGAAACCCUGACGAAGCAACGCCGCGUGGAGGAUGAAGGCCUUCGGGUCGUAAACUCCUGUCGACCGGGAAGAAUGCACCCGACCUAAUACGUCGAAGUGUUGACUGUACCGGUGGAGGAAGCCACGGCUAACUCUGUGCCAGCAGCCGCGGUAAUACAGAGGUGGCAAGCGUUGUUCGGAAUUACUGGGCGUAAAGGGCGCGUAGGCGGCCCGCCAAGUCCCGUGUGAAAGCCCCCGGCUCAACCGGGGAACGGCGCGGGAAACUAGCAGGCUCGAGUUCGGGAGAGGGAAGCGGAAUUCCGGGUGUAGCGGUGAAAUGCGCAGAUAUCCGGAGGAACACCGGUGGCGAAGGCGGCUUCCUGGACCGACACUGACGCUGAGGCGCGAAAGCUAGGGGAGCAAACGGGAUUAGAUACCCCGGUAGUCCUAGCCCUAAACGAUGAGCACUGGGUGUAGGGGGUAUGAACCCCCCCUGUGCCGAAGCUAACGCAUUAAGUGCUCCGCCUGGGGAGUACGGUCGCAAGGCUGAAACUCAAAGGAUUG
This 921-nucleotide ribosomal RNA is filed under the name uncultured bacterium. Its description in RNAcentral is "bacterial SSU rRNA". It matches the Rfam family "Bacterial small subunit ribosomal RNA", at positions 8 to 911 of the family's 1533-position model. The record is from RNAcentral.